GACCUCGGAUCAGGUAGGGAUACCCGCUGAACUUAAGCAUAUA
Molecule: ribosomal RNA, 43 nt
Filed under: Penicillium sp.
Lineage: Eukaryota; Fungi; Ascomycota; Eurotiomycetes; Eurotiales; Aspergillaceae
Description: partial 28S ribosomal RNA
Source: RNAcentral